CGGCAGCAGGGAACCAGGACCUUUACUUUGAAAAAAUUAGAGUGUUCAAAGCAGGCUCGACGCCGGAAUAUAUUAGCAUGGAAUAAUAAAAUAGGACGUGUGGUUCUAUUUUGUUGGUUUUUGGAACCGCCGUAAUGAUUAAUAGGGACAGUCGGGGGCAUUAGUACUCACAUGCUAGAGGUGAAAUUCUUGGAUUUUGUGAAGACUAACUUCUGCGAAAGCAUUUGCCAAGGAUGUUUUCAUUAAUCAGGAACGAAAGUUAGGGGAUCGAAGACGAUCAGAUACCGUCGUAGUCUUAACCAUAAACUAUGCCGACUAGGGAUCGGGCGAUGUUCUUCUUUUGACUCGCUCGGCACCUUACGAGAAAUCAAAGUUUUUGGGUUCUGGGGGGA
Molecule: ribosomal RNA, 392 nt
Filed under: Thalassiosira rotula
Lineage: Eukaryota; Bacillariophyta; Thalassiosirophyceae; Thalassiosirales; Thalassiosiraceae
Description: partial Eukaryotic small subunit ribosomal RNA
Rfam family: Eukaryotic small subunit ribosomal RNA
Source: RNAcentral